Molecule: ribosomal RNA, 226 nt
Filed under: uncultured bacterium
Lineage: Bacteria
Description: partial 16S ribosomal RNA
Rfam family: Bacterial small subunit ribosomal RNA
Source: RNAcentral
UGCGAAUCUCGAAAGCCUGUCUCAGUUCGGAUUGGAGGCUGAAACCCGCCUCCAUGAAGCUGGAUUCGCUAGUAAUCGCGCAUCAGCCAUGGCGCGGUGAAUACGUUCCCGGGCCUUGUACACACCGCCCGUCAAGCCAUGGGAGCCGGGGGUGCCUGAAGUUCGUGACCGCAAGGAGCGACCUAGGGCAAAACUGGUGACUGGGGCUAAGUCGUAACAAGGUACC